Molecule: ribosomal RNA, 150 nt
Filed under: uncultured archaeon
Lineage: Archaea
Description: partial 16S ribosomal RNA
Rfam family: Archaeal small subunit ribosomal RNA
Source: RNAcentral
ACGGGGCGCAGCAGGCGCGAAAACUUUACUAUGCAGGCAACUGCGAUAGGGGAACAUCGAGUGAUCCUCAUAUUGGGGGUCUGUCGCACCGUCUAAAAACGGUGAUUAGCAAGGGCCGGGCAAGACCGAUGCCAGCCGACGCGGUAAUAG